Molecule: long non-coding RNA, 580 nt
Organism: Gambusia affinis (western mosquitofish)
Lineage: Eukaryota; Metazoa; Chordata; Actinopteri; Cyprinodontiformes; Poeciliidae
Exons: 6
Source: RefSeq, a predicted model, not a curated record
AGACGGAGAGGGCAGAAAAACAGAAGAAAGUUCCAUUUUGUUAACAGUUGUACUACAGGUUCAGCACAAUUGGAUGUCACUGUACCUCCACAGCUGCAUGUAGCACAGCCAUCUGUCCAGCAGGUGGUGCUGCAGUUAGCUUCAUGAGCUCAUCGGCAGCCGGACACAAAGCAUCCAGCUACAGAAUGAGAACAGCAGCAGAGAUCCAAGAUCAAACAGGACUGAUGUGUUUAGGUGAUGUAGGUCAUCUGGGUACCUUCUCAUGGCUUGCGUCCCAGCAUGCACUGCAGCAGCCCAGGCGGCGCCGUUGGUCUUCUCCUCGGUCACAUGACCAGCUGCGGCGUAAUAAAUCAGCUUGCCGUACCGCUCCUGAGGAUCCGCCCAUUUUCUCCUCCACCAAUCCAGCGAGGACGGAAAGCAGUUGCCCUGGGCAACCAGGAACCACAUGAUCCUGGAGCCACUCCUGAACGGCUGCAGGAGCAACAUUUUAAUGGUCUACAACCUCAAACCUUCCCCCACGUUUUACCAAACUCUCAACCCUCCUGUCAUCGGCUCUUACCCAGUCCCAGCUCCAUGGCUC